Molecule: long non-coding RNA, 1057 nt
Organism: Astatotilapia calliptera (eastern happy)
Lineage: Eukaryota; Metazoa; Chordata; Actinopteri; Cichliformes; Cichlidae
Source: Ensembl
ACACUCCUUUCCAUGUUGAGGAGCCUGACAGAGGAAGCCAAGGCGGACUGGAAAAACUCCUUGAGCAAAGUGGUGCAUGCGUAUAACUGCACACGCAGUGAAGCAACAGGAUAUGCCCCAUAUUAUCUUCUCUAUGGCAGAAACCCCCGCCUACCAGUGGACAUCAUGUUUGGCCUGGUUCCAGGUGACCAGAGUACUUCUCACAGUGAUUACGUCCGUAAGUGGAGAAGUAGGAUGCAAGAGGCAUACAGAUUGGCAUCAGAAACAGCCCAGAAAGAGAGGAACAGAGCGAAAAAGCAGUACGAUCGGAAGGCUCAUGGAGUGGAACUGCAACCGGGAUGUCGAGUGCUAGUACGGAACUUCAGAGAUCGGGGUGGGCCCGGAAAGCUAAGGUCUUACUGGGAGGAGCGAGUACAUGUCGUGUUAGAAAGAAAGCACAAAGAUAGCCCUGUCUAUGCUGUACAGCCAGAGAGAGGACCAGGGAAAGUGAGAGUUCUGCACAGGAACCUCCUACUGCCCUGUGACUUUCUCCCCGUCCAGGAGGAGAAGCUGGAGAAAAACAAGAAGGGGAAGGAGGAUGCCAAACAACAAAGAAAAGGAAAGACCCAAGAAAAGCAGCAGGAGAGCGACCACGACAGCGGUUCAGAGGAUGAGGGUGACUGGGGAAUUAUCACCACACAAGCUGCGGAAUCACCCACCCAGAUCAGGAGUCAGCUGAGGGCAGAGGCAGAGGAGUUCCAGCCAGAAGAAGCUGACGGAGAACUGUCAAGUGGUGGUGUCAGCAGCGAGUGCCUAGACAAGGGUGGAAAAGGUGGACUGGAGUCAAGUGCAGAGGAGGAGGAGGCAGGGCGAAGUGAGCUGUCUGGGGAGGAGAACAGAAGAAGUCAAGGACAGGUGUCGUCAUCUGAUGAAGAAGACGAGGGAGAGCCCAACUCACAGCCAGUUCCCACAAGAAAUUUCCUGUUUCAAAAUAAAAGCAUGGAUUUCAAAAUAAAACCGAAGAGCCUUUCAAACAAACGUAAAAAUAUUUACAAUUUUAAAGGUCAUUUACACUGCC